This 253-nucleotide ribosomal RNA is filed under the name uncultured bacterium. RNAcentral's name for it is "partial 16S ribosomal RNA". It matches the Rfam family "Bacterial small subunit ribosomal RNA", at positions 524 to 776 of the family's 1533-position model. The record is from RNAcentral.
GACGAACCGUGCGAACGUUGUUCGGAAUCACUGGGCUUAAAGGGCGCGUAGGCGGCCUUCUAAGUCAAACGUGAAAUCCCUCGGCUCAACCGAGGAACUGCGUCUGAUACUGGAAGGCUUGAAUCCGGGAGAGGGAUGUGGAAUUCCAGGUGUAGCGGUGAAAUGCGUAGAUAUCUGGAGGAACACCGGUGGCGAAGGCGGCAUCCUGGACCGGUAUUGACGCUGAGGAGCGAAAGCGUGGGGAGCGAACAGG